GAUGAAGAACGUAGCGAAAUGCGAUACUUGGUGUGAAUUGCAGAAUCCCGCGAAUCAUCGAGUUUUUGAACGCAAGUUGCGCCCGAAGCCAUUCGGCCGAGGGCACGUCUGCCUGGGUGUCACGCAUCGUUGCCCCCCCAAACUCCGGUUCGGGCGGGGCGGAAGUUGGCCUCCCGUGCGUGCCUGCGCGCGCGGUUAGCCCAAAAGCGAGUCCUCGGCGAUGAGCGCCACGACAAUCGGUGGUUUUGUUGCCCUCGUUCCUCGUCGUGCGUGCCCCGUCGCCCGAACGCGCUCUUGCAACCCUUACGCGUCGCCUCGGUGGCGCUCCCAACGCGACCCCAGGUCAGGCGGGACUACCCGCUGAGUUUAAGCAUAUCAAUAAGCGGAGGA
RNAcentral lists this unclassified non-coding RNA (390 nucleotides) under soil metagenome. RNAcentral's name for it is "partial contains 5.8S ribosomal RNA, internal transcribed spacer 2, and large subunit ribosomal RNA". The stretch from base 1 to 122 matches the Rfam family "5.8S ribosomal RNA", at positions 35 to 154 of the family's 154-position model. The record is from RNAcentral.